RNAcentral lists this ribosomal RNA (492 nucleotides) under uncultured bacterium. RNAcentral's name for it is "partial 16S ribosomal RNA". It matches the Rfam family "Bacterial small subunit ribosomal RNA", at positions 29 to 507 of the family's 1533-position model. The record is from RNAcentral.
AAUGAACGCUGGCGGUAGGCCUAACACAUGCAAGUCGAACGGCAGCACAGUAAGAGCUUGCUCUUACGGGUGGCGAGUGGCGGACGUGUGAGGAAUACAUCGGAAUCUACUUUUUCGUGGGGGAUAACGUAGGUAAACUUACGCUAAUACCGCAUACGACCUACGGGUGAAAGCAGGGGAUCUUCGGACCUUGCGCGAUUGAAUGAGCCGAUGUCGGAUUAGCUAGUUGGCGGGGUAAAGGCCCACCAAGGCGACGAUCCGUAGCUGGUCUGAGAGGAUGAUCAGCAACACUGGAACUGAGACACGGUCCAGACUCCUACGGGAGGCAGCAGUGGGGAAUAUUGGACAAAGGGCGCAAGCCUGAUCCAGCCAUACCGCGUGGGUGAAGAAGGACUUCGGGUUGUAAAGCCCUUUUGUUGGGAAAGAAAAGAAGCAGGUUAAUACCCCGCUGUUCUGACGGUACCCAAAGAAUAAGCACCGGCUAACUUCGUG